Molecule: ribosomal RNA, 447 nt
Filed under: uncultured bacterium
Lineage: Bacteria
Description: partial 16S ribosomal RNA
Rfam family: Bacterial small subunit ribosomal RNA
Source: RNAcentral
AACGAACGCUGGCGGCAGGCUUAACACAUGCAAGUCGAACGCAUCGCAAGAUGAGUGGCAGACGGGUGAGUAACGCGUGGGAACAUACCCUUUUCUACGGAAUAGCUCUGGGGAACUGGAAUUAAUACCGUAUACGCCCUACGGGGGGAAGAUUUAUCGGGGAAGGAUUGGCCCGCGUUGGAUUAGCUAGUUGGUGGGGUAAAGGCCUACCAAGGCGACGAUCCAUAGCUGGUCUGAGAGGAUGAUCAGCCACAUUGGGACUGAGACACGGCCCAAAAUCCUACGGGAGGCAGCGGUGGGGAAUAUUGGACAAUGGGCGCAAGCUUGAUCCAGCCAUGCCGCGUGAGUGAUGAAGGCCUUAGGGUUGUAAAGCUCUUUCACCGAUGAAGAUAAUGACGGUAGUCGGAGAAGAAGCCCCGGCUAACUUCGUGCCAGCCGCCGCCGUAA